RNAcentral lists this ribosomal RNA (254 nucleotides) under uncultured bacterium. RNAcentral's name for it is "partial 16S ribosomal RNA". It matches the Rfam family "Bacterial small subunit ribosomal RNA", at positions 524 to 777 of the family's 1533-position model. The record is from RNAcentral.
UACGAAGGGGGCUAGCGUUGCUCGGAAUUACUGGGCGUAAAGCGCACGUAGGCGGCUUUCUAAGUCGGGGGUGAAAUCCUGGAGCUCAACUCCAGAACUGCCUUUGAUACUGGGAAUCUCGAGUCCGGGAGAGGUGAGUGGAACUGCGAGUGUAGAGGUGAAAUUCGUAGAUAUUCGCAAGAACACCAGUGGCGAAGGCGGCUCACUGGCCCGGUACUGACGCUGAGGUGCGAAAGCGUGGGGAGCAAACAGGG